RNAcentral lists this long non-coding RNA (5504 nucleotides) under Malus domestica (apple). RNAcentral's name for it is "long non-coding RNA (MDOM_LNC010708)". Lineage: Eukaryota; Viridiplantae; Streptophyta; Magnoliopsida; Rosales; Rosaceae. The record is from RNAcentral.
UUUUUCUAAGUGAGGUUCGGGAGACUUCCUUCCAGGCCUAUAAAUAGGUGUGUGUAUUCUUUGUAUUUCUUAGAGUUGGUUAUCAAGAGGAAGAGUAGCAUCACCUAUUUGAAAUCGAAGGGGUGUGAAGGAAAAGACUUUUGAAAGUCAUAGGAAAUCUAUCCCCAAGAGCAUAAUCAAUUAUGCUUCAAACCAUAUCCCAAGGUUGUUUAAGCUGAUAGGAAAAAUUCAAAACAUUUAAGAAAUAAUUUUGAAAGCGCAUAAUCGAUUAUGCUUCAAGUCAUAUCCCAGGGUUGUCUAAGCUGAUAGGAAAACUUCCAAAACAGUUUAGAAAUAAUGUUGAAAGCUGGCCACCACAAGUUGUCAAAUAACUUAAGCAGUGGUGCAAGGAACUUCCUCCAUUGAAGAUUCCUAGUGAAUGUGAGGCAUGGACAUGGCGUAACUUGACAACAAAAAAUUAGGAAUUGUAGAAUAGUGUUUGAUGUGUUGUAAAGUAAGGAAUAAUGUUUGGUGUAAUGUAAAGUUGAGUGUGCAUAAAGUAAGAUUCCUUCCUAUUAUUGUAAGAAAAUGACAAAAGAGGAUGAUGUCUUUUGUCUCCUGAUUUUUCUAGGUGAGGUUUGGGAGACUUCAUUCCAGGCUUAUAAAUAGGUAUGUGUAUGCUUUGUAUUCCUCAGAGUUGGUUACCAAGAGUUGUAUACGACUUGGAUGAGAUAUCAAUAAAGAAUACUUGUUUAUGUAAAGCUUCCUUGGUUGAAUCUUUAUUCUAUAUUCUAAUUUGAGUCAUCCUAAAAAGUAGAGAUCCUUAGAGUAAAGCUUAGGUAGAGCUUAGAUCCUUAUUUGGUAUCAAAGCCAAACCUCUUGUAGGUGGCUCAAGCUUCUUGAUCUUUCAAAGUUUGUGUAUUUCUUGUUACUUUGAUUCUUAGUAUGCUCCACAGUUGCAGCAUAAGCCUGAUUUUAUUUAUAAUAACCGAAUCUCAAUAAAGUUCUUUCCAAGAGUCUCCUUAAACCUUUUAUUUACAAAGGGUUGGUGUUAUAAGUCCCGAUGAGUUGUUUCGAGUCUUUCUAUUCGUGGUCGCAUUGGUGUAAAUCAUGUUGAGGUAUCCAGUGUUGGUAGGAGUCAUGGCAGAAAGAACGGCAACUAAGACUGUUGCUUCAGAGUCGCAAGAGUCUCAGUCAGGAGUUGUACCAAAUUAUCAUUGUGAGCUUGAAUGGAAUCCAGAACCUUCUGGUCCAUCUUCUCAUCCUUUCAAGUUCUUGGAGUGUGCUGUUCUAUCCAGUAGCAUUUGCAAGAAUACAACAACAACAACAACAAAGCCUUUUCCCACUAAGUGGGGUCGGCUAUAUGAAUCCUAGAACGCCAUUGCGCUCAGUUUUGUGUCAUGUCCUCCGUUAGAUCCAAGUACUCUAAGUCUUUUCUUAGGGUCUCUUCCAAAGUUUUCCUAGGUCUUCCUCUACCCCUUCGGCUCUGAACCUCUGUCCCGUAGUCACAUCUUCGAACCGGAGCGUCAGUAGGCCUUCUUUGCACAUGUCCAAACCACCGUAACCGAUUUUCUCUCCUCUUUCCUUCAAUUUCGGCUACUCUUACUUUACCUCGGAUAUCCUCAUUCCUAAUCUUAUCAUUUCUCGUGUGCCCACACAUCCAACGAAGCAUCCUCAUCUCCACUACACCUACAUGUUAAUGCUUCACCGCCUAACAUUAUGUGCCAUACAACAUCGCCAGAUGCACUCUUGGCCUACGACGGUCACACAACACGCCGGAUGCACUCUUCCACUUCAUCCAUCCAGCUUGUAUUCUAUGGGUGAGAUCUCCAUCAAAUUCUCCGUUCUUUUGCAAGAUAAAUCCUAGGUAGCGAAAACGGUCGCUCUUUGGUAUUUCCUAAUCUCCGAUCCUUACCCCUAACUCAUUUUGGAGACAGGAAGCAAACACAAGAUGUACGUGGUUCACCCAGAUUGGCUACGUCCACGGAGUAAAGGAGUUCUCAUUAAUUAUGAAGGGUUUACACAGUACAUAGGUUCAAGCUUUCCUUUAGUGAGUACAAGUGAAUGAUUUAGUACAAAUGACAUUAGGAAAUAUUAUGGGAUAAUGAUCUCGUAAUCACGAAACUUUUAAGUACCGAAGUGUGGUAUCGUCUUCACUUGCCUUAUCUGUCUCAUAGGUAGAUGUGGCAUCUUCUUUGGAAGUACUAUUCCUCCCUCCAGGGGUGGUAUCUUUAACUGGUGGAGAUGCACAAGGUAAUGUAUCAAUUUCACUUGACGCUUACUUGUAGUUUCAGGCUUGGUCAAGCACGAUACAAACCAUGUAGUAGGAGUCUCCUAAGUCGCCGAGCUAGGGGAUCUGCUCAAAGAGGUGAUAGACAAGCUAAGCAAUCAGAGCUCCAAGCAAUCAGUCCCAGAUUAGAAGUUUGAUUUCGAGUUCUGGCUGAUUGUUAUCCUUCUCCUUAUCUUGCAGGCAGCAUGAAGGAUAAAGAGAAGAAAAGGAGAAAAGGUGAUAUGAGAUACUUUUGCUUUUGAAGAAGUAACUUUCCACAGGCUUAUUCUUGAACUGGGCUGGAGGGUUUUCUGGUUUCCGCCAGAGUAUAAGGCCGACUGAAGAAUUUGAGGGUCAAAACAAGUCCAUCAAAUCUAGAGUACGUUCAACCCUGCUGAUAUGGGAUACUUUUGCUGUUAACCAAGUAGUGGAUGUAUCGGCACGUGUUCUGUUGCGCUUGUCUCCACAUGCUUCCUGGUAUCUUCUCGAGAAACAUAAGAUGUUGAAGAUGAGUACUCGAGAGCAAUGCCAGGUAAGUAAUCAGGUAAGGGGUUCCAGGCAGUCAGUUCCGGACUGGAAGCUUGAUUCCAAGUGCUGACUAAUUGCUCUCUUUCUCCUUGUCUUGCAGGUAAGAACAAGGCCAAAGGAAAAGACAGGGAAAAAGCAUGAUAUGGGAUACUCUUGCUUUUAACCCUGAUGAUAUGAGAUAUUCUUGCUCUAGUGUAGCUUGUUUGCAGAGGUAUUCUCGGGGGGAAAGAAAGUUGAGUAUUUCGAGAGGUUUCGUUGGGAGUGCCCUGUCAAAUAUGAGGAAGGGUUGAGCAUUUUUGCAGGUCUGCCUGUCCGUUGAGGAUGGAGGUCGACAUAUAUAGGAGUCUCCCUAACAAUAAGGAGUAAUGCUAUUCCUUUACCGUGCUUGGUCAUAGCACGGUAGUGGGAGCUGCCAGCUUCACGUGUUUUAACUCUAUCAGAGCACUUUGAAAAAGUGGUCUGUGGUAUCUGGAAAGCUGAUGUUACGUGUGAAGAUUACAGACAAGCUUUAUCCAAGAAGAUCUGGCUCUCGAAGUUGAGAAAAUGGUGUGAGGAGUACAGACAAGCUUUAUCUAAGGGGCUCUCGAAGUUGAGAAAGCGGUGCCUCUUCGGUUUUCGAACAAGCAAUCAUGUCGGGGAUCUGUCUCUCGAGAUUCGGAGAACGGUGCCUCUUCGAUGUUUGAGAAAGCAAUCCUGCUAGGAGUCUGGCUCUCGAGAUUAGGAAAGCGGUGUCUCGUCGCUUUUGAGAAAGUAAUCAUGUUGGGAGUCUGGCUCUCGAGAUUCGGAGGGCGGUGCCUCUUCGAUCUUGAAGCAAGCAAUCUUGUUGGGAGUGUGUUCUCGAAUGUGAGUAAAGGUUAGGCCUGUUUGCUAGUCUACCUUGCCACGGAGCACAGAGGUUGACACACAGGGACUUUCCAAUUAUCCAGCAGUGGUCAUGUUCCUUUACCCUUGUGGGUAAUAAUAUGGUAGCUAGACCUUCAAAAUUUAUGUGUCUAAACUUUGUUAGUACUGUUUCUUUGCUAUUCUUUUACCUUUCUUGGUCAUAGCGAUGUAAUGGGAGCUGCAAGCUUCACGUGUCUAAACUUUGUCAGAGAUUUUUGGCAAAGUUAUAUGUGGUACCCGUGAGCUGAUGUUGCGUGUGGAAAGUGGAUGAUUGAACAGUAACAUUCACGUGCUUUCUACUUCACCAGAAAUCUUCGACAGAAUGCCCGUAAUUUCCGCAAAGUUGAGUGUGCAUGUGACAGGUGCUGACAAGGCUGAAAAAGCAGGUGUCUCUUCGAUUUCUGAGAUCGGCCCUCGUGGUCUCUGAGCAGCCCAGCUUUUGAGAAAGCAAGUGCCUCUUCGAUUUCUGCGAUCGACCUUUGUGGUCUUUGAGCAGCCCAGCUUUUGAGAAAGCAAACGUCUCUUCGUUUCCUGAGAUCGGCCCUCGUGGUCUCUAAGCAGCCCAGCUUUUGAGAAAGCAAACGCCUUUUCGAUUUCUGAGCAGGCGCCUCUUCGAUUUCUGAAGCUCCAUCGAGUGCAGAUUUUUAUAGAGGCUGGUAUUAAGUUUCAAAUCACACUUGAAUCUUCACCAGUAGAAGCUCCCAUCUUGCAUUUCUAAGAUCUUGAUUUAUCCGACCUCUUCUCUCUUCAACACCUUUGAAAAUGUCUGGCCCCUCCGACCGUCGUUUUAACUUGAACCUUGUUGAAGAGGCAGCCACGCCUUCUCCAAACAACAUAUGGCGCCCAUUCUUCUUAUCCCUUACUGGUCCUCUUACCGUUGGGGAUUCCGUGAUGAAGAAUGAUAUGACUGCUGCGGUGGUGGCCAGGAACCUUCUCACUCCCAAAGAUAACAGACUACUUUCCAAACGGUCUGAUGAGUUGGCUGUUAAGGAUUCUCUGGCUCUCAGUGUUCAGUGUGCAGGUUCUGUGUCUAAUAUGGCCCAACGCCUAUUUGCUCGAACCCGCCAAGUUGAAUCAUUGGCGGCUGAAGUGAUGAGUCUCAAACAGGAAAUUAGAGGGCUCAAGCAUGAGAAUAAACAGUUGCACCGGCUCGCACAUGACUAUGCUACAAACAUGAAGAGGAAGCUUGACCAGAUGAAGGAAUCUGAUGGUCAGAUUUUACAUGAUCAUCAGAGGUUUGUGGGUUUGUUCCAAAGGCAUUUAUUGCCUUCGUCUUCUGGGGCUGUAUCGCGUAAUGAAGCUCCAAAUGAUCAACCUUCGAUGCUCCUCCUUCUAAGGUGCUGUCUAGUACUGAGGCUCUGAAUGAUCCCCCUCCGGUGCCUUCUCUUUCUGGGGCUCUACCGACUGCUGAGGCUUCUCCUAAGCAACCUUUGUGAAGGCUCCCUCUUGUUUGUUUAAUUUGACUCAUGUAUAUGUAUGUAUUUGUAACUUAUUGGAGAUAUCAAUAAAUAAGCUUUGUUUCAUUUCAACGUAUUGUGUUAAAUACACCAAAGCCUUCUUCGCUAAGUUCUUUGAAUUUUUCUUUUGUUGAAGCUUGUAUGUUGAAGCUUUGUGAGUAGAGCAUGUAGGUUGAGGUAGUGUUCCCUUAAUUUCCCGAGUGGGGAAAACUUCUCGAUUGGAGACUUGAAAAAAUCCAAGUCACUGAGUGGGGUCGGCUAUAUGAAUCUUAGAACGCCAUUGUGCUCGAUCCUGUGUCAUGUCCUCCGUUAGAUCCAAGUACUCUAAGUCUUUUCUUAGAGUCUCUUCCAAAGUUUUCCUAGGUCUUCCUCUACCCCUUCGGCCCUGA